Molecule: long non-coding RNA, 1213 nt
Filed under: Rosa chinensis
Lineage: Eukaryota; Viridiplantae; Streptophyta; Magnoliopsida; Rosales; Rosaceae
Description: sRNA RchiOBHm_Chr5g0040681
Source: RNAcentral
UUUUUUUUUUUGCCGCACACUGUUUUCCGGCAAUUUCACCGCGGUCAGUCCACCGCCGGGCGCACCACCGAUCAUUGAACGCUCCUCUCUUCCUCCUCUUCCAUCUUAGGUGGAGGAGAAAUCGAGGGUGAACAGUAACGCACCCGGGUUUGCAGCUUUUGGGCCAAUUUCCGGUCAUUUGGUCGUGAAUUGAGUAUGUUUUGUGGCAGGUAUUAAAGUUGUUCUACAAAUUGUGGAGAUCGUUGUAGUGUAGGUGGGUUUGCCGGAUUUGGGAGUUGGUGAGGUGGAGCACGAAGCCACGCGCCGCCACUGGUGGUGGCGCCACCAAAAAAUGCUUAAUUUUAGUUUGUUAAUUAUAUCCUGUGUAUGGGAAUCGUUGACUACCUUAAUAUCAUGAAAUUCCGAUGAUUUGACGUUGUUCAAGAGUGUUAAGUUUGGAACUAUUGGAUAUGUAUGAUUGUUAUACAAGAAUAUUAAUAUCGAGAGUUGUUUAAAAUAAUUGUUGUUGUGUUAGAGUUUUGGAUUUUAAUUUUCGAGGAAUUUGGAGAAUUGGAAAGGGAAAUUGUUUUUAAUUUAUUAGUUAAAAGUAUAUUUGUUGUUGGGAGAUUGAAAUUGAAUUUGAUUUAGAUGUUGAAAGAGGAGUUGAGAAGGACGUAUUGAGCCCACGAGAGAGGAGGACACCAGCAAACAGCAGGAUUAGCUGCGAGACUCACCUGUGAAUGGACCUUUGUUUUAAUCAAACUAUGCAUGCAGUAUGGAUUUUCAAGCAUGGGAUUAAAUUGUGAAUUGAAAAUAAUUAACUAUUUAAAUGUGAUUUCGUUGAAAGAAAUGAGUUGACAAGGAGGCUACUAUCCGGCGCAUGCGUACAUUACCUAGUCGGCAGCCUCCUCCAGGAUAUUCCGGUCGACAGUCCCCUUCGGUGAGUUAUCUGGUCGGCAGUCCCUUCCAGAUGACAUGAGAUAGUUAGUCGACAGUUCCCUCUACUACCUGUGGUUAGUCGGCAGUCCCCUCUAACCACCGCCUCCUAAAUUCUGGUCGGCAGUCCCUUCCGAUACGUCAUCUGGGCGGCAGUCCCCACCAGAUGGCAUGAGAUGACUAGUCAGCAGCCCUCUCUAGUCAUUGAAUGUUUUUUAUGGAAAGGUUGACUUCGAACGAAUUUGGGGAUUUUUUAUAAAUUGCACUGCAUACCGGAUUUAAAUAGCAAGAAAAUGGG